CAAAGUGACACUGUUCUUUGUACAUAAUUUUUUCUAGACACGUGCAAUUCGUUUUGGUCCUAAUGUGAAUUCGGACAAAUUUUGGAGACGCAUCCGAAUCUCCGAAGUGCCGAAUUGCCAAAGUGCCGAACUGAACUGCCAAAGUCCCGGAUUUCGGAGGUUCCAAACUGAACCGAAUGGCCGAAGUGCCAAAUUUCAGAAGUGCUGAAGUGCUUUGGAUUUCUGAAAAGUGGCAAAAAAAAGAGAGGGAGAGAAAAUUAUGUGAAUGAUG
Molecule: non-coding RNA, 271 nt
Organism: Pelobates cultripes (western spadefoot toad)
Lineage: Eukaryota; Metazoa; Chordata; Amphibia; Anura; Pelobatidae
Source: the annotation of a GenBank genome assembly